UAAUGAUUAGAGGCAAUGGUGGAGCGACGAAUCGAGUCAGGACCGGAAGGUAGCAGCUAUAAGUCGUAAAACCAUGUGCCUUUUAAAUUUAUAGUUA
Molecule: signal recognition particle RNA, 97 nt
Filed under: unidentified
Description: Aerococcaceae bacterium No. 9 signal recognition particle sRNA small type
Rfam family: Bacterial small signal recognition particle RNA
About the family: The signal recognition particle (SRP) is a universally conserved ribonucleoprotein involved in the co-translational targeting of proteins to membranes.
Source: RNAcentral